RNAcentral lists this long non-coding RNA (727 nucleotides) under Anas platyrhynchos platyrhynchos (common mallard). RNAcentral describes it as "lncRNA (ENSAPLG00000025305.1)". The record is from RNAcentral. Lineage: Eukaryota; Metazoa; Chordata; Aves; Anseriformes; Anatidae.
AUGUCUUUUUGUUUAAGGCAGAAACUUGGAGUAUGCACACGUGUGAAUGAGUGGAGAAGGGCUGUCUUUGGUUUCUUUGUGUCUCUUACCAAGGUAAAGAAGACUGUCAAGUUUGGAGAGACUACAUCCAUUCUAGAAGCUGCUUACCUGAGCCACAAACGUUUAUACGGAAGUCUGGCCCUAAGGCUUUUCAAAUCAGCAGAGGCAUGGAAUAUUUGUCACCCACUUUUCUGCAGAUGGGAAGUGAUGCAUAGAGAUGAAAUGAUUUAUUGUUUCACACUCUGUCAGAGCAAGUACUUGUGCUCACCAUUCCUAAGGUCUAGGUAAGUUUGGAUCACUGCAGAAGCCUUAACUUCUGGGUCUAGAGCCUACUUCAUGGCUUUUGCAGCAAGAGGAGGAAAAUUCACAUAUAUGAGCCACUCUUCAGCAUGUAGAUGUAAGGACUGUUGAACAAUUUAACAGAAGCUAUGGACUGUGUUGAAAGAAUGUUCUUUAGAGGUAGUGCUCUCGUGAUUUUUUUGUCAGUACAAUAAGUGUAUUGCUCUGACUGCUCUAACUUCACAGGCAGGUUGGAGCAUUUGUGCCACAAUCUGUACUGUGGAAGGCUAGAGGAAAGCAACAGCUUGUGGGUAGAAAGGCUACUAAGCCCUCUGCACACCGGGAAACUGUUUUUUAUCCUGAACUUUCCAAUCUGGCCUAGAAAUAAAAGCAAUCCUAAUGUAGGUCA